Long non-coding RNA from Lactuca sativa (garden lettuce), 714 nucleotides. RefSeq lists it as uncharacterized. NCBI's taxonomy places the organism in Eukaryota, Viridiplantae, Streptophyta, Magnoliopsida, Asterales, Asteraceae. The record is from RefSeq and is a predicted model, not a curated record.
UCUCGAUUCUUUGCCCCCCAACUCAAUCCAAUACUUCGUCUCUCUAUUCUCUUCCAUCGCUCUCGGUGCCAUAGCUACCACUGUCAACCCAAUGUACAUUGUCGCCGAGCUAUCCAAACAACCAUUCCACCAGCCCUUCUUCCCCCAUUAACUUCAAUCUCACCGACGUAAACGGGUGGGAUCACCAUAGGAGUUCCUGCACAUGGUCCUUCUCUGCAGUCUCCCACUUCGCUUUCUUCAUUGAUUCCAUCUUCGUUUGGUUCGCAGUUUGAUGGAGGAUUAGGUCGUCAUAAUACUAUUAGUAUGCCCGAAUUUGCAACCAGUACUAGCACUCCGCAGGUAAGGCAAUCAAUAUCUUGAAUGCAGAGAGUAAGAAUGAUGGGAUCUCUUGGUUUCAAUUCUUCUCUGCGACCAAGUGGAGUUCCUGCAUCACAUCUACAGAGACCUCUACAAUAUUUUCUUAGACCACAGACAGGUGCUAAUAAUCAGACUGCAUCACAAAUUGAUCCAGGUAAAAGAUUGGAUCUUGAAGUGGUGAUGACAUUCUUGUUGAUAUUGCUGAUGAUGUUGUUGAAUCUGUGAGUUCCAUCUUCCCUAAAUAUUUUAGUAGUAAAAUGUACUUAACAAAAUGUUUUUUUAAAGAUUUUGCUUGUAUUAUUUAAUGAACUGGGAUCUUUUUAUACAAUUUUUUUAAUUAGUUUUGUUUGUCUACUU